Molecule: non-coding RNA, 374 nt
Organism: Paramuricea clavata
Lineage: Eukaryota; Metazoa; Cnidaria; Anthozoa; Malacalcyonacea; Plexauridae
Source: the annotation of a GenBank genome assembly
UUUUGUAGCUUUAAGGGACCGGUCAUUAUUUAUGGUGGGGGGUGGCACCGAAGAGAAAUGUUUUUCGUGGCAAAAAUUUUGCUGACCCAACCAUUAAAAAGUCAAAAAUUUGAUUACCCAACCUCAAAUAUCAAGUAAAAAAUAAAUACCCACCCCUGGCUAAAAUUAAACUUUACAAAAGGUUACCAUUCAGUUGUCACAUAUGUCCUUUACCCGAUUUCUGUGACAGGAGUUAGAUAACUGCUUGUGAAAUUUGCUGUAGUCUAAUGUAUCAUGUUGUCUGCACAUGUGCUUUCUUUGGAAACACAUUUGUCUUCUAACAAAUUGGAAAAUGAUCAAGACAGUGACUGAUUGAUUCACUUAUUGUAUUGACA